GGGUCUUAAGGUGAUAUUCAUGUCGAAUUGCAAAUUCGAAGGUGUAGAGAAAUCUCUACUAAGACUU
This 67-nucleotide transfer RNA is filed under the name Mus cookii (Cook's mouse). RNAcentral's name for it is "tRNA-Cys". Lineage: Eukaryota; Metazoa; Chordata; Mammalia; Rodentia; Muridae. The record is from RNAcentral.